RNAcentral lists this transfer RNA (74 nucleotides) under Rhodococcus sp. (in: high G+C Gram-positive bacteria). Its description in RNAcentral is "Rhodococcus sp. tRNA-Met". It matches the Rfam family "tRNA". Rfam says of the family: Transfer RNA (tRNA) molecules are approximately 80 nucleotides in length. Their secondary structure includes four short double-helical elements and three loops (D, anti-codon, and T loops). The record is from RNAcentral. Lineage: Bacteria; Bacillati; Actinomycetota; Actinomycetes; Mycobacteriales; Nocardiaceae.
CGCGGGGUGGAGCAGCUCGGUAGCUCGCUGGGCUCAUACCCCAGAGGUCGCAGGUUCAAAUCCUGUCCCCGCUA